Ruditapes philippinarum (Manila clam) is the source of this 3983-nucleotide long non-coding RNA. RefSeq lists it as uncharacterized. Lineage: Eukaryota; Metazoa; Mollusca; Bivalvia; Venerida; Veneridae. The transcript is spliced from 5 exons. The record is from RefSeq and is a predicted model, not a curated record.
UUGUCAAAUUAACGCCUUAUUGUUAUCAAAUGCAUUAUUUAACUAGUAUUGACAAAGUUUUCCAACUCAGAAACGCUCUCCGUAACAUUUCUGACCAUUCUAAAAAAUGCAUUUUCUUAUUUGACUGGGUUAGUCAAAUAAGAUUUAUAUUUUGGCGGGAAGCCCUUCGAUUAUUUCCGUAAAUGUUCGGAUCUGAGUCACGUGAUAUGAUUUACCAAACCAAAAUAAUGGCGGACAAUACGAAAGGUGUGUCACGUAUACGAUAAAUAAAUUUUGAGAUUGGAAAAGGAAAAAGCGAAAAGUGGAAAGAAACUGUGAUUUAAUUCAAUCAAGGAUAUACUCCGGUAGUGAUUCAAAGCGACGAAAAGUUCUAAAAAGGGUAAUUAAAACCAAAAGCGACCGUGAAGUUGUUAUCUGAUUGACACUGACAGCUGAGGUGAUCAUCGUUUUUGUUUGCAUUUAAUUUUUUCUUGGUCUUAGAUCUACUUAUAGAAAAAUUUCACCUACGAAUAUAUAAACACAGAUAUUGUGUUAUAGUUUUUAGGAUGGUUUUGACUUAUGAUAAAGAAAUUAAGCUUGCAGAUCCACGUCCGUGUAUCAAGUUUUCGUUCACUGUAAUUUUCGUACCAAUAAAUUGUUAUUGUUAACAGGUUAAAUAAAAGAUCGGCUGAGCCUAAUCGUUUACAAUUUUAUGGCGUAUGUUCAUUGUAACCAUUGUAAUAUUGUUUAAGAUGGCCAAUCACUAUCUUUUAACAAUCAUUUAAGACACAACAAAAUUAUAUUUUGAAUAACUUUUAUUUUCCAAUCACAUUAUUGUUUUUUACUGUAAGCUGUACUGUAUAGUAACUACAAUGCUGUGAAAUAGAUUAGCCACAUGUGUCUCAAAAAGGGUUAGAACUAUUGACUAGCAGAACAGGCAUUUCUUCAAAGCAUGUUCAACUAUCAAGGGUAGUCCUAUAAAUGUGACGUCCUUUGAUUUUGAGAUAUUUUUGCUUUUGGGCAACCUUGACCGACAUUUAAGCAAUAACAAGCCCGUAAGUCUGAUAUAUUGAUCUACUAUCCAGGGUUGUCGAAUCUUCAUAGAAAUAAAGUAGAAAAAAUAAAAUGUUGUCUAGAAAAUCGCACAAAAAUCAAUAAUUUUGUCUCAUUUGAAUCAUUUUUGCAGUAAAAUUUCAGCAUUUCACAAUUUGAAAAAUAAUCAUGGACAAUAACCAUAAUUGUGCUGGAAACGUUAGAUAAUUCUUAUUGACAACCCUUCUUCCUUAUAAGCAGUGCAGCAAUUCAUGUAUUGUAAUUGGUUUGAAUAGUCAAGAUUUAAGGCCAUGGUACUAGUAUGCUAUAUUUUCAAUUACAGAAAUAAAUCAAUUUCAUAGUCAUCAUGUGUUGCAAUACCACUACCAGGGACAUCAAAGAUGACCUGGACUUCAGUGCAUAUGCAGAGGAGAGUAGCACUAAAGAAAGCCAAUAAAAUCCUUUUGGAGUUGAAUUGAGACACAACCAUUCAUUUCUGGUUUAGUUAUAAAACUGCUACAGACUAUAAACUAUUCAUGAUGAUGGAAUACACCAAUGCCUAGUACAAUCAUGGCCCAUUAGAAACCAGAAUAAACCAUGGCUGCAAAGGAAAUAAGAUGCACAUAGUCUGAAAGUUCUGGCUGUUGUUCUGAAUAAGAUGACAUAAUAUCUCAACUGCAGAAGUACAGCUGGCAUGUAGGGGUUUCAACAGCACAUCUUGAUGUAUUGUACCAAAAGAUUUGCUUACACACCACCUGUUUAUAGGACGCACAAUCUUCUUGCAGCCAUAGAUUAUAAUAUACAUGCAAAUAGACCAUACAUCACCAACAAGGGGGAUCUGUUAGACUUCAGCAAGUCUGGGUGAAUUAAAGAAGAAGAAAAAGUAUCAUUAUACCAUUUUUCAUGAUGCUAUAACUCUGAGAAUUAGUGACAUGGAGCGGAUAUAUAAAAUAGAAAGUUAGAGGAAGAUGACCCCCACAGACUUUCAAAAUAUUUGGCCCAAGUUAGCCCGAAGCCUACCCGAGCCAUUCAUGAGGAACAUAAAUCAAGAUAUGAUUGACUUUUUAUGGAAAAGAAUGAUACAUAGUGUGUUACACUGAUUGCCCAUUUAUUCAAACAUAUUUAAGCUGACAUUGAACACCUGGUAUUCAUGAUAGUUUUAUGAAAUAUCUUUUUAGAUAUGGCACUGUAUCUAUCUUGUUUCGAAAAAAAUUCUCUUGAUUCAUUUGUCAUGACUCAAGGUCUGUUUUUAAUAUUUUGUCAGAAAAAUGACUGCUUUUUAUACAAGUGCAAAAUAUUAUCCAAUCUAUUAAACUAUAAGUGCUGCUAUGAGCUUUAAUGUAGUAACGAAGUUAAAAGUAUUAUUCAAUUAUAUCUUUUGAUAUUCAUGUACUAUGUCAUUCACUUUAGCUCAGCUUUUCUUUUUUUUUUUUGAAAAAAGAAAUAGAGGUUGCUGCCGUUGCCUUCUGCAAACUUAAACCUUGUUCAUAACUUUUAAAGUUCUUGGUGUAUUGUCUAACCUUUGCCUUCAUUCAUAAUUGACCUUGACCUUCAAGGUUAAAUGUCUAAAUUUUGGCUUUGCUUGCUAUUUGCUAUUAGUGGCUUUAACUUUAUGCCCUUUGUUAAUUUUCAUAUUUCAUUUUUGUCUUGGCCAUUUCUCCUGAACUAUAUUGUUCACAAGGCAACACAUCCGACUCGCGAAGAUCUAGUUGGUAUUAGUCCAUGAAUUGUUUGUAGUCCAAUCUAGUUUAUUAGACCAAUGACAUAGGGGCAUUUUAUAUAAAAUCCUUGUUCAAUCAAAAAAGGCAAGCCUUAAAAUUAUCUUUGUAUUUACUCCCUCAUCCCAUUCCAGUUCAGAUAGGUUAGGUGGGCUGAUAAAAUAUUUAUUUUUGUGCCCCCACUUUAGUGGCGGGCAUUUAGAUUUACCCUUGUGUGUCCGUCCGUAUUUCACAUCAUGAAACUUUACUGUAAUGUUGAUCAGCAAGUGUAGUUGUUCACCUUGGUGUUUUCAUCUGGAUAUUUUUAGUAUUUUCAGAGUUACUGCCAUUGAAUUUUUGCAAUUUUCAACUUGUGUUGCAUGUUACUCAAGAAGUAUUUGACCUAGAGCAAUGAAACUUUACAGGAAUGUUGAACAUUAUGUGUAGUUGUGCACCUGGGUAUUUUCGUCUGGAUUUAGUAUUUUGAGAGUUAUGGCCCUUGACUUAGUAAAAUUUUGCAAUUUUCAACUUGUGUCGCAUGUAACUCAAAAAGUAUUUGACUUAGAGUAAUGAAACUUUACAGGAAUGUUGAUCAGCAUGUGUAGUUGUGCAUCUGGGUAUUUUCGUCUGGAAUUAAUUAGGAUUUUUAGAGUUAUUGCCCUGACUUGGUAAAAUUUUGCAGUUUUCAACUUGUGUCACAUGUAACUCAAAAAGGAUUUGACAUAGAGUCAUUAAACCUUACGGGAAGGUUGCUCAGCAUAUUUAGUUUGGCACCUGGGGUUUGGCUUGUGGAUUUAUCCAGUAUUUGUAGAGUUAUUUCCCUUGACUUAGUAAAAAACAUUUCAUUAUGUUGUUAUUUGUUCCUUGAGUGCUUGAGUGAGAAUCAACCAACUUUACAGGAAUAAUGAUCAACAUCACUGUGAAGCUAUGAACCUGUGACUUUCAUGUGGAUUUUUUUCAGUUUUGUUAGAGUUAUUGCUCUUGACUUACAGUAGUAUAAAUUUACAAUUUUCAACUUGUUCAUGCAUAGCUCAAAAAGUAUUUAUGUUUUCUUUCAUUUUAUUCAGCCAAACAUAAAUAAUUUAUCAUUUAACUCCAUAAUUAAUAUCCUACAGGGAUAAAAUAUAAAUAAGAAAGACAAUAUAGGAGUGGCUACUACAGGUUCACUUUAAUUUAUCGAAUAAUUUACAAUUUUCAACUUGUUCAUGCAUAGCUCAGUAAGUAUUUCACUUGUAGGCCUGAAUGUUUAAAAGAAUGUUGGUCAGCAUAUGUACU